AGCCACAGUACAGGAGGCUCAGCAGAGCAAGACCGGGAGCAGAGAGGACAGGAAGGAGAUCUUGGAAGAGAAACUCCUGGACAGUGAUAACAGCCAUUGUGAGAUCAUGAGGCAACAGGCAUGAGGAAAGGGCUAAGACAGCAGAGAGGUGGACCCUGACAUGGAGGCGCCCCUACACCACCUCAAAGCUGCUUUUUCCUCAGAGGAAAGAUAACCUGGAGCCAACAACAUGCUUUGCCAGAGGUGGAUGCCACCCAGUAAUAGCACAUCAGAGUGCAAGGCACCCUGUGCGUGGGAUCCGUGAGAAAGCUUGUUCUGGCUGGAUCUCUGUAAUGGCCAGCCCCACUCCCACCACAUUCUAUGCUCAGAAAUAUUACAACUCUUUUGUUUCCUUGAAGGAGCCCUUCCCCCAAUCCCUCUAGGCUUUGCCAUACUGUUUUCUCCCUCCGAAACACUUCGUUUCUUGGUUACUUCUCAAUUUUCUGAGGACCCAACUUAAAAGGCACUUCCACUGGAGGAGCUGGAUAAAAGUCCCUCCACCUGCUAAGAGCUGCCUGGGCACCCAUCCACAUCCUGCAUUAUUCCCUGGGGCUCUGUCUCCCAUUUAACAGUGGGCUGUGUGAAGGCAGGGUCCAUGUGGGAUUUAGUCCCAGCCACACUUUCAGCACCUACCAUUAUGCCUGGUACAUAGUACAUGUCUAAUGGGUACUUCUGUAUGAAAUGAAUGAAUUCGUCUGUAACUCGAAGGACCAGUCAGAAGCAAGGGAGAGGCUGGAGGCACAGACCACAUACAGAACCCUUCAGAAAACCCAAUCAACAUCUGAGGCUGGAUUACACAAAACUGUAAUAUUUGGCCACUUUUCACUUAUUAGAAGAAUAAUUUUUUUGUGUGUUUGUUUUUUUAAG
This is a long non-coding RNA of Saimiri boliviensis boliviensis (Bolivian squirrel monkey), 906 nucleotides long. RefSeq lists it as uncharacterized. The record is from RefSeq and is a predicted model, not a curated record. Lineage: Eukaryota; Metazoa; Chordata; Mammalia; Primates; Cebidae.